AGCAGCCGCGGUAAUUCCAGCUCCAAUAGCGUAUAUUAAAGUUGUUGCAGUUAAAAAGCUCGUAGUUGAAUUUCGGGGUUAGUAGGUUGGUCAUGCCUCUGGUAUGUACUGGUCUCACUGAUUCCUCCUUCCUGAUGAGCCGUAAUGCCAUUAAUUUGGUGUUGCGGGGAAUUUGGACUGUUACCUUGAAAAAAUUGAGUGUUUAAAGCAAGCUAACGCUUGAAUACAUUAGCAUGGAAUAAUGAAAUAGGACGUUCGAUCCUAUUUUGUUGGUUUCUAGGAUUGACGUAAUGAUUAAUAGGGAUAGUUGGGGGCAUUAGUAUUCAAUUGUCAGAGGUGAAAUUCUUGGAUUUAUUGAAGACUAACUACUGCGAAAGCAUUUGCCAAGGAUGUUUUCAUUAAUCAAGAACGAAAGUUAGGGGAUCGAAGACGAUCAGAUACCGUCGUAGUCUUAACCAUAAACUAUAGCCGACUAGGGNUCGGGAUGAUGUUUAAUUUUUUAAUGUACUCUAUUCGGCGC
RNAcentral lists this ribosomal RNA (520 nucleotides) under uncultured Glomus. RNAcentral's name for it is "SSU rRNA". It matches the Rfam family "Eukaryotic small subunit ribosomal RNA", at positions 569 to 1086 of the family's 1831-position model. The record is from RNAcentral. Lineage: Eukaryota; Fungi; Glomeromycota; Glomeromycetes; Glomerales; Glomeraceae.